UACGGAGGGUGCAAGCGUUAAUCGGAAUUACUGGGCGUAAAGGGUGCGUAGGUGGUUAAUUAAGUUAGAUGUAAAAACCCUGGGCUUAACCUGGGACUGAGAUUUAAUACUGGUUAACUUGAGUAUGGGAGAGGGUAGUGGAAUUUCCGGUGUAGCGGUGAAAUGCGUAGAGAUCGGAAGGAACACCAGUGGCGAAGGCGGCUACCUGGCCUAAUACUGACACUGAGGCACGAAAGCGUGGGGAGCAAACAGG
Molecule: ribosomal RNA, 253 nt
Filed under: uncultured bacterium
Lineage: Bacteria
Description: partial 16S ribosomal RNA
Rfam family: Bacterial small subunit ribosomal RNA
Source: RNAcentral